GUUUAUAGGUACACGUUCAGAGUCUAUGCCAAUCUGAUCCCCAUAAGAUC
Molecule: small RNA, 50 nt
Filed under: Arabidopsis thaliana (thale cress)
Lineage: Eukaryota; Viridiplantae; Streptophyta; Magnoliopsida; Brassicales; Brassicaceae
Description: ATSL259900
Source: RNAcentral